UACGUAGGGGGCAAGCGUUAUCCGGAUUCAUUGGGCGUAAAGCGCUCGUAGGCGGUCCGUUUGGUCGGGAGUCAAAUCCCGGGGCUCAACCCCGGCUCGCUCCCGAUACCGGCGGACUUGAGUUUGGUAGGGGAAGGUGGAAUUCCCAGUGUAGCGGUGGAAUGCGCAGAUAUUGGGAAGAACACCGGUGGCGAAGGCGGCCUUCUGGGCCAUAACUGACGCUGAGGAGCGAAAGCUAGGGGAGCGAACAGGAUUAGAUACCCCGGUAGUCCCUGAGCGGGCUGGCAAGG
Molecule: ribosomal RNA, 290 nt
Filed under: uncultured prokaryote
Description: partial 16S ribosomal RNA
Rfam family: Bacterial small subunit ribosomal RNA
Source: RNAcentral